AAUAGGCUAAUUAAGAGCGUAAGGGGAAUACCUUGGCUCUCAGAGGCGAUGAAGGACGUGAUAAGCUGCGAUAAGUUACGGGGAAUGGCACAAACAUUUUGAUCCGUAAAUUUCCGAAUGGGGCAACCCGGCAUAUUGAAGAUAUGUCACACUGUAAAGUGAGCAAACCUGGUGAACUGAAACAUCUAAGUAACCAGAGGAAUAGAAAACAAAAGUGAUUCCGCUAGUAGUGGCGAGCGAACGCGGAAUAGCCCAAACCCUAAAUUGUUACGGCAAUUUAGGGGUUGUAGGACCUUCAACAUUUAAUGCUAAUAGAACUAGAAUUUACUGGAAAAGUAAAACCCAAAGAAGG
Molecule: ribosomal RNA, 352 nt
Filed under: uncultured Flavobacteriaceae bacterium
Lineage: Bacteria; Pseudomonadati; Bacteroidota; Flavobacteriia; Flavobacteriales; Flavobacteriaceae
Description: bacterial LSU rRNA
Rfam family: Bacterial large subunit ribosomal RNA
Source: RNAcentral